RNAcentral lists this ribosomal RNA (497 nucleotides) under uncultured bacterium. Its description in RNAcentral is "partial 16S ribosomal RNA". It matches the Rfam family "Bacterial small subunit ribosomal RNA", at positions 28 to 507 of the family's 1533-position model. The record is from RNAcentral.
GAUGAACGCUGGCGGCGUGCCUAAUACAUGCAAGUCGAGCGAACAGAUGAGGAGCUUGCUCCUCUGACGUUAGCGGCGGACGGGUGAGUAACACGUGGAUAACCUACCUAUAAGACUGGGAUAACUUCGGGAAACCGGAGCUAAUACCGGAUAAUAUAUUGAACCGCAUGGUUCAAUAGUGAAAGACGGUUUUGCUGUCACUUAUAGAUGGAUCCGCGCCGCAUUAGCUAGUUGGUAAGGUAACGGCUUACCAAGGCAACGAUGCGUAGCCGACCUGAGAGGGUGAUCGGCCACACUGGAACUGAGACACGGUCCAGACUCCUACGGGAGGCAGCAGUAGGGAAUCUUCCGCAAUGGGCGAAAGCCUGACGGAGCAACGCCGCGUGAGUGAUGAAGGUCUUCGGAUCGUAAAGCUCUGUUAGUAGGGAAGAACAAAUGUGUAAGUAACUAUGCACGUCUUGACGGUACCUAAUCAGAAAGCCACGGCUAACUACGUG